Pelobates cultripes (western spadefoot toad) is the source of this 390-nucleotide non-coding RNA. The record is from the annotation of a GenBank genome assembly. NCBI's taxonomy places the organism in Eukaryota, Metazoa, Chordata, Amphibia, Anura, Pelobatidae.
CUGAAAUAUUUGCAUAGAAUAAUAAAUAUAAAUAAAGAUAAAUAUAGCCAAAUACACUUGCAGGUGGCAUUUUUGGGAAUGGUAGCUUUCAAAAACACCAUCAGAGUUUUAAGUCAACACUCACAUACAGUAAAACCAGCUUCACUACACAUCUGUACUGUACAAAGCAAUGCAGGCGACAGUUUAAGCCCACAAACAACCCCUGUGGUGUGCUGACGGCCAUCAUUCCUUCCAAAAUGGCUACCAGAAUGCGUCAAUAAAUGUUGACAAAAUUGAGUGUGUGAGAAGGGCUGUUUACAGUUCCUUUGCAUUAAUGCAGUGGGAUAGAAACCGAAUAAAGACCGAGUAGAGCAUAAAAAUGUGCUCCUCUGGAAAAGUUGUAUGUAUAGG